Scylla paramamosain (green mud crab) is the source of this 2936-nucleotide long non-coding RNA. RefSeq lists it as uncharacterized. Lineage: Eukaryota; Metazoa; Arthropoda; Malacostraca; Decapoda; Portunidae. The record is from RefSeq and is a predicted model, not a curated record. The transcript is spliced from 5 exons.
UCGGUGUGUGUUUGUCGUAGUGACGGAGCUCGCGGAGUAGAGCACGUGUGUUCAUGAGAGACCAAUUACCCGCACCUAAAGACCACCACGACAUGGAUGGGAAAGUUCUGAGAGGCACUUUUUUGUUAGAAUGAAUAUGAUACUACAUCAAGCCAGUUGUGAAAAUGGAAGUUUACACGGAAAGGCGGGUGGCGUGCAGAGCCAUAGAUUGCUCAAAAGCCUUCACCUGAGGCGGGAAGGUGUCUUACUGCUCCGACGAAGACCAAGCCGCCCUUGGCUUGUGGGUCUCGGGACGCGCCACGCAGCCAACAGGUUGGUGCUCCUUGCGCUGUAAGGUGGCCCUAAUUACUUCGUUAUUUUUUGUGACGCUACUGAUAAGAAAGAGAGGAGAAUAUUUCUUGCCAAUUACGUCGACCUUGCCCUUGGUGAGUGCCGGGCGAGCUGCUUCUCACCCUGAUCAAGGCACUGCACUGCACCACGCAAGCAAUCGUGCAUCCGUGACCUCCGCGGCGCCCGUAACAAGAUCACGUCAGAUCAGCAAGGGAGGCAUUACUCUCGUUCUCCUUAAUACACAAUUGGAGGGGAAAUGUCUGUCAAUUAUAUUGUAACUGGCGGUUGGUGGAACAAUGUAUCGCUAAAACCUUGUGCCCUCCAUUUACGUUGUGUGGGAGGUGUUAGGAGUAUGCCAUGAUAAUGAUGAUGAAAAUUAUGAUGAUGAUGAUGAGGAGGAGGAGAAAGAAAAAUGAAAAGAAAAAAAAAAGGAAAACUAAGAACACCAUUCUGCUCCCAAACAGAAACAGUUGAAACCCAGAAAAGAUCGUUAAUUCAGUUUUUGAGGUGUCGUGAUACAGAAAUAGGAAGAGAAUUCCAGAGUUUAAUAGUAAAAAGAGUGAAAGAAUAAAGAUACUUCUUUAAUCUUGAAUCUGAAAGGUGAAUCAGAGAGUCUUGUGCAGCGAGGGCAAGGGACACAGAAUGCAUGCAGUUAAUAAAUUUAGUGGAGCAGUAACCAUAGAAAAAUUGGUAGAAGAACGUAAAAGAAACAGUACUGUGGCGGUGAGUUAGAGGGAAAAUAUCGAUGAAGCGAAAAGCAGUACUCCAUACAUGGACGGAUAAGGACCCACGAACACAGUAAGCGACUGAGAGGUGGAUCACAGGAACACAGAGAGGAAGAGAGAUGGAUGUUUGACACGGAAGCAAUAGUUAUUCCAAGGAAAAUCAAAAUAGUACCAGACGCACCUCCCCUUUGGUGGAUCCAGAGGCGGUAUUAGAGCGACAGAAUACAAAAUUAAGAUUGUGAAUGUUUGAAGCAUUUCCAAGGCGAUCAGGAAUGACGGUAAAAUGCUGCAGUAAUUCAUCUAGGUUAUGUAAUAUAGCAAAGUCGAAGGCUUGUUGGUCAGUGAAAGAAGUUGAUAAGCCAAAUCUGGUUGUAAAUACUGAGAUCUCCAAUAAUAGGGAUUUCAGCGAGAGACAAAUGGAUGAGAAUUGGCUUUGUUUUUUAAGUCAAAUAAUGAAAAAAUUAUACAUAGACGGAGGAGUCUGGUGAUAAAUACACAGCACAGAUGAACUUAGUGAGUAGAAAAUUAUGAAGACCAAGGAGCGUGGGGAUGAAAGCAAGUUAUAUUGUUACGUGCAUAGAUGCAACAGCAGGUCUUACUUGAAAUUGAGGAUAGAGAAAGUAGGAGAAAACAGGAGAGGGUCUGCUGUCAGUGGCCUUAGACAUCUAGAUUUCAGUGAGGAAUUGAAGAUGAGGUUUGGGGAGGCGAGGUGAUGUUCCACAGACUGGAAGUUAGAUCUACAUAUGUAAGUCUGCGAAUGUUGCAGAAGUCAAUAUGGAAAUGGUCAGAGGAGGCAUCAUGACACAUCUGUGUUGUAUCCUGGCGGGUGAACAUUUGUGUUUGCCUCCCUAGAUGGGGACUUGAAGGCUGAUUUUCAUAUUUUUGCCAGGAAUAUAAUCAUUGUUGUGAGUGUGUGCAUAUUUGUUAUGUAUGUUGUAUAGUGUUAAUAGAAAGAGAGGUUGUCUUUAGCGUGCAGGAUGCAAUUGUACUCUGAGUUAGUGAGACACGAAAAGAAAAGGUGAGGGAGGAUCAGCAGCAGGUUUGCAGCUCCCAUCACGCCCCUGUACUUAGCUAAAUGUGAGUGACAGCUUUAUCGGCAGGUGUCUACUACAUUCAUCAAGUAGUAGUAGUAGUAGUAGUAGUAGUAGUAGUAGCAGUAGUAGUAGUAGUUCUUGUUGUUGUAAUUGUCGAUGUCAUAGUAGUAGUAGUAAUGAUGAUGGUGGAAGCCGUAGUGUUGCUUGUGGACUUGUAACAAAAAUAAAAUGUCCAGGAUAUUUAGAGCCAGGCCGCCGCUACUCUGGUUACAUCACGAAGCACCAGCACGACGGGAGUCUGGCAGUCCAUCUGAUGGCGGCAGGAGACACCGGCUCUCCCUUCCAUUCUGACGCUCCAAACUCGUGUUACUUAUUGUGUGUCUCAAAAAACUUGGUGCGAUCAUUAUUUUUUUCUUUAUCUUUGAAUUUAUUUUCAUUUAUUUUUUUCCUUAACUAUUUCCAUUAAUUUACGUAUCUUUUUUGUAUUAUAUUUUUUGCGUUUUAUGUAUUAAGGAAUAUAUGUGGCAUGAUAUUUACGAAUUUAUGUAUCUGAUAAAAUUGUGAUGUCCUUAAAAUGUGUACGAUUUUUUGCCCGGUAAAUGGAGCGGAAUAUGGCCGUGAAAUACAGUUAUGGUGCAGGCAAAAUCUACAUGGGAAUAAUGUACGCAUUAUAUUGAAUACUGAAAUGUGUUAUUUUGCUAAGAACGGCUUCUCUUGUUUGUGUGUAGCGGGCAUUAAUGGUUGGUGCUUGCAGUUCUUGUCAGCUAACACGAAACCAUUGACCAUAAAGCUGCAUCUUAACGUGUCAGUUCACGCCACGUUUGGUAAUCUUCCUCCUGUCUGGAGC